AAGGAUACCGAAGAGAAUUGGAGG
This 24-nucleotide microRNA is filed under the name Zea mays. RNAcentral describes it as "microRNA miR-3016". Lineage: Eukaryota; Viridiplantae; Streptophyta; Magnoliopsida; Poales; Poaceae. The record is from RNAcentral.